CCCGCUUGACUGCGAGAAUGACAAUUCGAGCAGGUGCGAAAGCAGGUCAUAGUGAUCCGGUGGUUCUGAAUGGAAGGGCCAUCGCUCAACGGAUAAAAGGUACUCCGGGGAUAACAGGCUGAUACCGCCCAAGAGUUCAUAUCGACGGCGGUGUUUGGCACCUCGAUGUCGGCUCAUCACAUCCUGGGGCUGAAGUCGGUCCCAAGGGUAUGGCUGUUCGCCAUUUAAAGUGGUACGCGAGCUGGGUUUAGAACGUCGUGAGACAGUUCGGUCCCUAUCUGCCGUGGGCGUUGGAAAAUUGAAAGGGGCUGCUCCUAGUACGAGAGGACCGGAGUGGACGAACCUCUGGUGUUCGGGUUGUCAUGCCAAUGGCAUUGCCCGGUAGCUAAGUUCGGAAUCGAUAACCGCUGAAAGCAUCUAAGCGGGAAGCGAGCCUUGAGAUGAGUUUUCCCUGGCACUAUAAGUGUCCUAAAGGGUUGUCGUAGACUACGACGUUGAUAGGCAGGGUGUGUAAGUGCUGCGAGGCAUUGAGCUAACCUGUACUAAUUGCCCGUGAGGCUUAACCAUACAACACCC
RNAcentral lists this ribosomal RNA (576 nucleotides) under Vibrio splendidus 12B01. RNAcentral's name for it is "bacterial LSU rRNA". It matches the Rfam family "Bacterial large subunit ribosomal RNA", at positions 2364 to 2925 of the family's 2925-position model. The record is from RNAcentral. Lineage: Bacteria; Pseudomonadati; Pseudomonadota; Gammaproteobacteria; Vibrionales; Vibrionaceae.